This 88-nucleotide transfer RNA is filed under the name Opitutaceae bacterium. RNAcentral's name for it is "tRNA-Ser". It matches the Rfam family "tRNA". Rfam says of the family: Transfer RNA (tRNA) molecules are approximately 80 nucleotides in length. Lineage: Bacteria; Pseudomonadati; Verrucomicrobiota; Opitutia; Opitutales; Opitutaceae. RNAcentral also lists the same sequence under 3 other names. The record is from RNAcentral.
GGAGAGGUGGCAGAGUGGUCGAUUGCGGCGGUCUUGAAAACCGCUGAGCCGCAAGGUUCCGGGGGUUCGAAUCCCUCCCUCUCCGCCA